This 442-nucleotide ribosomal RNA is filed under the name uncultured bacterium. RNAcentral describes it as "bacterial SSU rRNA". It matches the Rfam family "Bacterial small subunit ribosomal RNA", at positions 355 to 796 of the family's 1533-position model. The record is from RNAcentral.
UCGAGAAUUUUUGGCAAUGGGCGAAAGCCUGACCAAGCGAUGCCGCGUGCGGGAUGAAGGCCUUCGGGUUGUAAACCGCUGUCAGUGGGGAGGAAAGCUUUGUGAAGAGCAAGGCUUGACCUAUCCGCAGAGGAAGUGUGGGCUAAGUUCGUGCCAGCAGCCGCGGUAAGACGAACCACACAAACGUUAUUCGGAAUUACUGGGCUUAAAGGGUGCGUAGGCUGCGCAGAAAGUUGGGUGUGAAAUACCUCGGCUCAACCGAGGAACUGCGCCCAAAACUACUGUGCUCGAGGAAGAUAGAGGUGAGCGGAACUUACGGUGGAGCGGUGAAAUGCGUUGAUAUCGUAAGGAACACCUGUGGCGAAAGCGGCUCACUGGGUCUUUUCUGACGCUGAUGCACGAAAGCUAGGGGAGCAAACGGGAUUAGAUACCCCCGUAGUCC